GAUGAAGAACGCAGCGAAAUGCGAUAAGUAAUGUGAAUUGCAGAAUUCAGUGAAUCAUCGAAUCUUUGAACGCACAUUGCGCCCCUCGGUAUUCCGUGGGGCACGCCUGUUCGAGCGUCAUUUACACCCUCAAGCGCAGCUUGGUGUUGGGCGUCUGUCCCGCUCUCCGUAGCGCGGACUCGCCUCAAAGUCAUUGGCGGCGGUCGUGCCGGCUCCUCGCGCAGCACAUUUGCGCUUCUCGGAGGCCCGGCGGAUCGGCAUCCAGCAAGCUACUUUUUAUGACUUGACCUCGGAUCAGGUGAGGAUACCCGCUGAACUUAAGCAUAUCAAUAAGCGGAGGA
Molecule: unclassified non-coding RNA, 341 nt
Filed under: soil metagenome
Description: partial contains 5.8S ribosomal RNA, internal transcribed spacer 2, and large subunit ribosomal RNA
Rfam family: 5.8S ribosomal RNA (bases 1-120)
Source: RNAcentral